This 1481-nucleotide ribosomal RNA is filed under the name uncultured Bordetella sp. RNAcentral describes it as "partial 16S-23S ribosomal RNA intergenic spacer". It matches the Rfam family "Bacterial small subunit ribosomal RNA". Lineage: Bacteria; Pseudomonadati; Pseudomonadota; Betaproteobacteria; Burkholderiales; Alcaligenaceae. The record is from RNAcentral.
AGUUCGAUUCUGGCUCAGAUUGAACGCUGGCGGGAUGCUUUACACAUGCAAGUCGAACGGCAGCACGGACUUCGGUCUGGUGGCGAGUGGCGAACGGGUGAGUAAUGUAUCGGAACGUGCCUAGUAGCGGGGGAUAACUACGCGAAAGCGUAGCUAAUACCGCAUACGCCCUUCGGGGAAAGCGGGGGACCUUCGGGCCUCGCACUAUUAGAGCGGCCGAUAUCGGAUUAGCUGGUUGGUGGGGUAACGGCUCACCGGGCGACGAUCCGUAGCUGGUUUGAGAGGUGACGACUUUCAGCCACACUGGGACUGGAGACACGGCCCAGACUCCUACGGAGGCAGUGGGUAAUUUUGGACAAUGGGGGAAACCCUGAUCCAGCCAUCCCGCGUGUGCGAUGAAGGCCUUCGGGUUGUAAAGCACUUUUGGCAGGAAAGAAACGGCACGGGAUAAUACCCCGUGCAACUGACGGUACCUGCAGAAUAAGCACCGGCUAACUACGUGCCAGCAGCCGCGGUAAUACGUAGGGUGCAAGCGUUAAUCGGAAUUACUGCUGCAAAAGCGUGCGCAGGCGGUUCGGAAAGAAAGAUGUGAAAUCCCAGAGCUUAACUUUGGAACUGCAUUUUUAACUACCGAGCUAGAGUGUGUCAGAGGGAGGUGGAAUUCCGCGUGUAGCAGGAAUGCGUAGAUAUGCGGAGGAACACCGAUGGCGAAGGCUGCCUCCUGGGAUAACACUGACGCUCAUGCACGAAAGCGUGGGGAGCAAACAGGAUUAGAUACCCUGGUAGUCCACGCCCUAAACGAUGUCAACUAGCUGUUGGGGCCUUCGGGCCUUGGUAGCGCAGCUAACGCGUGAAGUUGACCGCCUGGGGAGUACGGUCGCAAGAUUAAAACUCAAAGGAAUUGACGGGGACCCGCACAAGCGGUGGAUGAUGUGGAUUAAUUCGAUGCAACGCGAAAAACCUUACCUACCCUUGACAUGUCUGGAAUCCCGAAGAGAUUUGGGAGUGCUCGCAAGAGAACCGGAACACAGGUGCUGCAUGGCUGUCGUCACCGUGUCAGAUGUUGGGUUAAGUCCCGCAACGAGCGGCAACCCUUGUCAUUAGUUGCUACGAAAGGGCACUCUAAUGAGACUGCCGGUGACAAACCGGAGGAAGGUGGGGAUGACGUCAAGUCCUCAUGGCCCUUAUGGGUAGGGCUUCACACGUCAUACAAUGGUCGGGACAGAGGGUCGCCAACCCGCGAGGGGGAGCCAAUCCCAGAAACCCGAUCGUAGUCCGGAUCGCAGUCUGCAACUCGACUGCGUGAAGUCGAAUCGCUAGUAAUCGCGGAUCAGCAUGUCGCGGGUGAAUACGUUCCCGGUCUUGUACACACCGCCCGUCACACCAUGGGAGUGGGUUUUACCAGAAGUAGUUAGCCUAACCGUAAGGAGGGCGAUUACCACGGUAGGAUUCAUGACUGGGGUGAAGUCGUAACAAGGCAA